This is an RNA transcript of Gordionus sp. m RMFG-2023, 785 nucleotides long. RefSeq lists it as uncharacterized. NCBI's taxonomy places the organism in Eukaryota, Metazoa, Nematomorpha, Gordioida, Chordodea, Parachordodidae. The transcript has 5 exons. The record is from RefSeq and is a predicted model, not a curated record.
UUGAAAGAAAAAGGUAACAUUCAAAAAUUUCUACCAAAAUCCAGACAAUCUAAAAAAAAUAAAUAAAAAAUUUUAAAAUAAAUAAAAAAAAAAUAUUAAAAAAAAAAAUAAAAAAAAAAUAAUAUAUGAAAAUUUCCCCAUGAUUUAAUCUGUAACCUUGUAAAAGAUCUCCCCAAUGGUAUUGGAAUUUUUACUCUUUUCAAUCUUCUUUAUAAAUAAUAUUCAUUUAAAUUAUUUUCAAUUCAAAUAUAAUAUUUUUAUCACGCGUUAUAAUAAUAAAUCCAAAAGAACUCUUUAUGCAAAUUAAAUAUAAAGUACAAAUUUAACGAAUCUAAAAUUAUAUUACAACAAAAUUCAUCUCUUCCGUACUUUUUAAAAAUCUAAUAUGAAAUUUGAAACAUAUACCAUUGCUUUUCUCGUUAUACUAGGCUUAGUUGAUUAUUCCUCAGGAACCCCGACAGCAAUCAAUAGGACGUAUGCUCCAAAAGUUAAGAUUAUUGCAGCUGUCCGGUCUAUUGUUUCGAUGAAAAUGAUCUAGAUACCAAGGGCUGCCCAGCCUGUGCUUGCAAUUUAAACCAUAUUUCGAAAUUAGAUACCCGAAAUAGCUUGAUUUCGAAUAUCACAAAGGUGGAUGAAAAACCUACAGACAUUAAAUGUUUUACAAUAUUGUUAUGCCGCUUCUUAUGUCCAACGGGGACCGUUAAUUGUGGACAAUGCAAUUGUAUACCUAUCGUAUCAGAUACGAAAUAAAGUCAAGAUAAUAUUAAAUUUUAUACGAAUAUACG